RNAcentral lists this ribosomal RNA (336 nucleotides) under uncultured soil bacterium. RNAcentral describes it as "bacterial SSU rRNA". It matches the Rfam family "Bacterial small subunit ribosomal RNA", at positions 26 to 352 of the family's 1533-position model. The record is from RNAcentral.
AGAGUGAACGCUGGCGGUAGGCCUAACACAUGCAAGUCGAACGGCAGCACAGUGGUAGCAAUACCAUGGGUGGCGAGUGGCGGACGGGUGAGGAAUACAUCGGAAUCUACCUUUUCGGUGGGGGAUAACGUAGGGAAACUUACGCUAAUACCGCAUACGCCCUUCGGGGGGAAAGCCGGGGAUCGCAAGACCUGGCGCGGAUAGAUGAGCCGAUGUCGGAUUAGCUAGUUGGUGAGGUAAUGGCUCACCAAGGCGACGAUCCGUAGCUGGUCUGAGAGGAUGAUCAGCCCACUACGUGGAACUGAGCGACGGUCCAGCCUCCGUACGGGAGGCAGC